AAAACUGAUUCCAUACCAACAGGGAAGGACAUCAAACGCGGAAGUUAGAAAACAGACGGACUGCCAGACUCCAUUUUAAACUUCAACAGAGCAGCAGAAAGAAAACAGGGGAAGGACAUCAAACGCGGAAGUUAGAAAACAGACGGACUGCCAGACUCCAUUUUAAACUUCAACAGAGCAGCAGAAAGAAAACAGGGGUUACUGGUUCAUCUCUCACAAUGGAGACCAUGAGAGAUGAGGAGGAGGACAGAUCUUCAGUGUCCAGAAAACCCUCUGACACAAAACAGAGAGCAGAGUCUCCAGUCCCCAGCUGUCUGUCUAUG
This is a long non-coding RNA of Trematomus bernacchii (emerald rockcod), 323 nucleotides long. RefSeq lists it as uncharacterized. The record is from RefSeq and is a predicted model, not a curated record. The transcript is spliced from 4 exons. Lineage: Eukaryota; Metazoa; Chordata; Actinopteri; Perciformes; Nototheniidae.